GGUAUGUUGACUGUGCGAAGGUUGCGUGAUAAUUAGUUUCUUAAUUAGAAACUUGUAUGAAGGAUUGGACAAGAAAACUUCUGUCUCUUUCUAAUUUUUUAUGAAUUUAACUUUUGGGUUAAAAGGCCUAAAUAAGUGUAAAAGACGAGAAGACCCCAUAGAGUUUUAUUUUUUGUUGAUUUUUAGAAUUAUUUUUUAAACUUAAAAAUUAGUUGGGGUAACUUAAAGAUUUACUGAAUUCUUUAAAUUUAAAAUCCUUAAUUUGUGAAUUUAAAAUCUAAAUUAUUAAAUUUAAAUAAAGUUACCUAAGG
RNAcentral lists this ribosomal RNA (311 nucleotides) under Balgus tuberculosus. Its description in RNAcentral is "partial 16S ribosomal RNA". The record is from RNAcentral. Lineage: Eukaryota; Metazoa; Arthropoda; Insecta; Coleoptera; Elateridae.